GACGUAGGGCGCGAGCGUUGUCCGGAUUUAUUGGGCGUAAAGAGUUCGUAGGCGGUCAGUCGCGUCUGCUGUGAAAACUCGGGGCUUAACUCCGGGCCUGCAGUGGGUACGGGCUGACUAGAGUGCGGUAGGGGAGACUGGAAUUCCUGGUGUAGCGGUGAAAUGCGCAGAUAUCGGGAGGAACACCAGUAGCGAAGGCGGCUCGCUGGGCCAUUCCUGACGCUGAGACGCGAAAGCUAGGGGAGCGAACAGG
RNAcentral lists this ribosomal RNA (253 nucleotides) under uncultured bacterium. RNAcentral's name for it is "partial 16S ribosomal RNA". It matches the Rfam family "Bacterial small subunit ribosomal RNA", at positions 524 to 776 of the family's 1533-position model. The record is from RNAcentral.